ACAAGCUUGAGAAACGGCUAGUAGGAUUAAGGUCUGCAGCAGGCGCGAAACUUGCACAAUGCUAGAUUACUAAUUAAUAUAGCGAUGUAGUGAAGAAAAAUAACGAUGUACUUCCAUUUAAACAUGGUAGUACAAUUGGAAUGAGACGACUCUAAACCAGUCAGUCGAGUAACUAAUGGAGGGCAAGUCUGGUGCCAGCAGCCGCGGUAAUUCCAGCUCCAUUAGCAUACAUUAAAGUUGUUGCGGUUAAAAAGCUCGUAGUUGAAUUUUACGCGGGCUCUAUUGGGGUGUAGCCGUUAAGGGUUCAGUAGAUAAUUCUCUGAAUUUCUCUGUUAACCUGGCUAUCAUCUUCCAUUAGGAACCCGCUGUUUCGUCACUUAAUCGAGUGCGAAGCGGGCUGGAACUAUGUGAAAAUAUUUAUUUAUUUUCAAGUUACAGCAUGUUUACCUUGAGAAAAUUAGAGUGCUCACAGCAGGCAGUUGGGGUGUAAAAGCUCCUUUAUGCUUGAAUAAUGUUGCAUGGAAUAAUAGAAUACGGCCUCGGUUCUAUUCUGUUGGUCUUAUAGAACAACAAACAAGUUGGUUAAAGCGAUCAAAAGUUAAUUUUAAGUGUGGUUUUGGCUGAAUAGUUCUGUCAAAGUGUUAUUGUAAUUGUUAUAUCCUGUUGCCUGGAGCCUUAAAAUUUCAGUGCCUUGCAUAUUCAAUUCAAUCCUUUGUACGUUCUACACUCUACCAUCUCCAUUUUAAAGCACUUCUAAUUAUACUAGCUUUCUAAUCAACUGAGGCAAUGGUUAAAAGAAAUAGUCCGCGGCGGCAUCAGUACUGCAUCGUGAAG
Molecule: ribosomal RNA, 834 nt
Filed under: Proiectus sp. NJAUAcariEriGX1.2
Lineage: Eukaryota; Metazoa; Arthropoda; Arachnida; Trombidiformes; Eriophyidae
Description: partial 18S ribosomal RNA
Rfam family: Eukaryotic small subunit ribosomal RNA
Source: RNAcentral